GAGAACCGGUCAUGAUAUUAUUGAAUUAAAUUGAUCAAAACAAAUAACAAUCCAUGAAUGACUCAAGUAUUUAGUGAAAUAGAAUUGUUCUGAACUUUUGUUUAUGUUUAGACAAUUUUCGUCAUUUAUAGUAUUAAAGUUGGCCAUUCAUAGUUACAUGUUUAUUUAUCAUAUAUCCACUAGAAUCGAAUAGUUUGAGAAUGUAUGAUGAUAUAAUCAAAUUAAUUCAUCACUUUAAGUACGAUUUGAUAUGAACAUCAUCGAAUAACAAUGAAUUGAAUAUCAUCACUUUUUUUUCGAUGCCAAAUCGAUUCAUAGUCCAAACUUUCUGUUUGAUUAUUUGUUUAGUAAUCAAAAUGGAUUCGAUUCCAAAAACUUUUCUCAUACUCAUUCACAUUAUAAUUAAUUAUGGCCAAUAGUUUUACAUCUGUGGUCUCUUUUCAUGAAUUUUGAUAUCAAAAAUAAUGCCUGGCUAUCUGAACAGAUUGAACUGCAGUAAUUUCUGGGAAAACUGAAAUUUAAAAAUAAUCAAAACAUUCACUGCUGUGAUUAUUUGUGUUCGAAACAAAUUACAAUGAAAAUAGAAUAAUCCGACCUCAAAAUGUUUUGUUUAGAAUUUACUUCAACCUGAAACGACAUACGCGCAUACACAUUAUAUUCAUAAUCUGAUCUGGAAAUUCAUCAUAUUGCCAAAACGGUUAACCAGAAAAAUACCAGAGACCAAAAUUAUUCUUCUGUCAAGCAAGAAGCAAACAUUUCCCAUUCAUUCUCGUCUCUUACUAUAUUCAAAGGAAUUCAUGAAAACACAAUCAUGGAAUUAUUUAUUGCGAUAUUUUAUUUUGUUAAUUAAAUG
Dermatophagoides farinae (American house dust mite) is the source of this 853-nucleotide non-coding RNA. Lineage: Eukaryota; Metazoa; Arthropoda; Arachnida; Sarcoptiformes; Pyroglyphidae. The record is from RefSeq and is a predicted model, not a curated record.